UGAGUACGAGAUGCUACGGCAUCGAAGCAGUCUAUGUCAUACUUCCAAGAAAAGCUUGCAAUGUCAUAAACAAAUAAUGCCUGUACCAUAACCGACACAGGUGGGUAGGUAGAGUAUACUAAGGGGCGCGAGAUAACUCUCUCUAAGGAACUCGGCAAAAUGACUCCGUAACUUCGGGAGAAGGAGUGCCUUAUUUUUAUAAGGUUGCAAUAACAAGGUCCAAGCAACUGUCUACCAAAAACACAGGUCUCCGCUAAGUCGUAAGACGAUGUAUGGGGGCUGACGCCUGCCCAGUGCCAGAAGGUUAAAGAAGUUGGUUAGCAUUAGCGAAGCUGAUAACUGAAGCCCUGGUGAACGGCGGCCGUAACUAUAACGGUCCUAAGGUAGCGAAAUUCCUUGUCGGGUAAGUUCCGACCCGCACGAAAGGCGUAAUGAUUUGGAUACUGUCUCGGAGAGGGGCUCGGUGAAAUAGACUUGUCUGUGAAGAUGCGGACUACCUGCACCUGGACAGAAAGACCCUAUGAAGCUUUACUGUAACUUGAGAUUGAAAUUGGACUUUAUCUGCGCAGUAUAGGUGGGAGACGUUGAAAAUAUUCUUGCGGGAAUAUUGGAGUCAUCAGUGAGAUACCACUCUUAUAAUGUUAGAUUUCUAACUUUGUAUCAUUAUCUGGUCAAAGAACAGUUUCAGGCGGGCAGUUUGACUGGGGCGGUCGCCUCCCAAACGGUAACGGAGGCGCACAAAGGUUUCCUCUGAACGUGUAGAAAUCGUAUCUAGAGUGUAAAGGCAUAAGGAAGCUUGACUGUGAGACCUACAAGUCGAGCAGGGACGAAAGUCGGUCUUAGUGAUCUGACGGUGCUGAGUGGAAAGGCCGUCACUCAACGGAUAAAAGUUACUCUAGGAUAACAGGCUGAUCUCCCCCAAGAGUUCACAUCGACGGGGAGGUUUGGCACCUCGAUGUCGGCUCAUCGCAUCCUGGGGCGGUAGUACGUCCCAAGGGUUGGGCUGUUCGCCCAUGAAAGCGGUACGCGAGCUGGGUUCAGAACGUCGUGAGACAGUUCGGUCCAUAUCCGGUGUAGGCGUUAGAAUAUUGAGAGGAGCCUUCUUUAGUACGAGAGGACCGAGAAGGACAUACCUCUGGUGUACCAGUUAUCGUGCCAACGGUAAACGCUGGGUAGCCAUGUAUGGAGAGGAUAACCGCUGAAAGCAUCUAAGUGGGAAGCCCACCUCAAGAUAAGUAUUC
RNAcentral lists this ribosomal RNA (1241 nucleotides) under metagenome. Its description in RNAcentral is "bacterial LSU rRNA". It matches the Rfam family "Bacterial large subunit ribosomal RNA", at positions 1564 to 2813 of the family's 2925-position model. The record is from RNAcentral.